This 327-nucleotide ribosomal RNA is filed under the name Triticum aestivum (bread wheat). Its description in RNAcentral is "partial small subunit ribosomal RNA". The record is from RNAcentral. Lineage: Eukaryota; Viridiplantae; Streptophyta; Magnoliopsida; Poales; Poaceae.
AUGACGAGAGUGAAGAAUAGUUACUAUGUACUUCCAGGAGAACCUGAGCCGAAGCGCACCAUGUCAAACACUCACAGCUUUGGGAAGGUAAUGUUCCUAACAGCUGUUGCCAGGCCUCAAUAUAACAAUGAGGGGGAGCUAACAUUCGACGGGAAGAUCGGCAUUUGGGCAUUCAUCGAAGAGACUGAGGCGAAGCGGACAAGUCAAAACAGAACAAAGGGAACAAAAGUGUUGACAUCAGUGAAAGUAACUAGGCCUGUGUGCAAAGAUUAUCUAGUCAAUAAGGUUAUCCCGGCAAUUCAGGAUAACUGGCCUGACGAUGAUUAG